UACGGGGGGAGCAAGCGUUGUUCGGAUUUACUGGGCGUAAAGGGCGCGUAGGCGGUCAGCACAAGUCAGUUGUGAAAUCUCCGGGCUUAACUCGGAAAGGUCAACUGAUACUGUGCGACUAGAGUGCAGAAGGGGCAACUGGAAUUCUCGGUGUAGCGGUGAAAUGCGUAGAUAUCGAGAGGAACACCUGCGGCGAAGGCGGGUUGCUGGGCUGAUACUGACGCUGAGGCGCGAAAGACUAGGGGAGCGAACGGG
RNAcentral lists this ribosomal RNA (255 nucleotides) under uncultured bacterium. Its description in RNAcentral is "partial 16S ribosomal RNA". It matches the Rfam family "Bacterial small subunit ribosomal RNA", at positions 524 to 776 of the family's 1533-position model. The record is from RNAcentral.